GAUGAACGCUAGCUACAUGCUUAACACAUGCAAGUCGAGGGACCGGCGCACGGGUGAGUAACACGUAUCCAACCUGCCCUUUACUCGGGGAUAGCCUUUCGAAAGAAAGAUUAAUACCCGAUGUAAAGGAUGGGGAUGCGUUGCAUUAGGUUGUUGGUGAGGUAACGGCUCACCAAGCCUUCGAUGGAUAGGGGUUCUGGGAGGAAGGUCCACCGCAUUGGAACGGAGACACGGUCCAAACUCCUACGGGAGGCAAGAGUGAGGAAUAUUGGUAAAUGGGCGUUAGCCUGACCCAGCCAAGUAGCGUGAAGGAUGAAGGCUUAUGGGUCGUAAACUUCUUGUAUAUAAGAAUAGGUAUUAUAUGAAUAAGGAUCGGCUAACUCCGUGCCAGCAGCCGCGGUAAUUC
RNAcentral lists this ribosomal RNA (406 nucleotides) under uncultured bacterium. RNAcentral describes it as "partial 16S ribosomal RNA". It matches the Rfam family "Bacterial small subunit ribosomal RNA", at positions 28 to 526 of the family's 1533-position model. The record is from RNAcentral.